GAAAUGAGAUGAAUUUACACCCCUUUUCGAGGAACAAUUGGAGGGCAAGUCUGGUGCCAGCAGCCGCGGUAAUUCCAGCUCCAAUAGCGUAUAUUAAAGUUGUUGCAGUUAAAAAGCUCGUAGUUGGAUUUCUGGCAGGAUUUCGAAGUCCGCUUGUUGCGUGUGCUGAGAGACCCUGCCAUCCUUCUGUUAACUCUUCGCGGUAUUCAUUUACCGGUUGAGGGCUCAGAUAUUUUACCUUGAGAAAAUUAGAGUGUUUCAGGCAGGCUUGCGCCGGAAUACAUUAGCAUGGAAUAAUAGAAUAGGACUUUUGCCUCUUCUGUUGGUCUGAGGGGUUUAAGUAAUGAUUAAUAGGGAUAGUUGGGGGCAUUAGUACUUAACUGUCAGAGGUGAAAUUCUCGGAUUUGUUAAAGACUAACUUAUGCGAAAGCAUUUGCCAAGGAUGUUUUCAUUAAUCAAGAACGAAAGUUAGGGGAUCAAAGACGAUCAGAUACCGUCCUAGUCUUAACCAUAAACUAUGCCGACUCGGGAUCGGGAGCGAGAGUUAUCCGCUUUCGGCACCGUAUGAGAA
This 571-nucleotide ribosomal RNA is filed under the name uncultured marine eukaryote. Its description in RNAcentral is "SSU rRNA". It matches the Rfam family "Eukaryotic small subunit ribosomal RNA", at positions 511 to 1096 of the family's 1831-position model. The record is from RNAcentral.